UACGUAGGGUGCGAGCGUUGUCCGGAAUUAUUGGGCGUAAAGAGCUUGUAGGCGGUCUGUCGCGUCUGCUGUGAAAACCCAGGGCUUAACCCUGGGCUUGCAGUGGAUACGGGCAGACUAGAGGCAGGUAGGGGAGAAUGGAAUUCCCGGUGUAGCGGUGAAAUGCGCAGAUAUCAGGAGGAACACCGGUGGCGAAGGCGGGUCUCUGGGCCGUAACUGACGCUGAGGAGCGAAAGCAUGGGGAGCGAACAGG
RNAcentral lists this ribosomal RNA (253 nucleotides) under uncultured bacterium. Its description in RNAcentral is "partial 16S ribosomal RNA". It matches the Rfam family "Bacterial small subunit ribosomal RNA", at positions 524 to 776 of the family's 1533-position model. The record is from RNAcentral.